UUGGUGGGCCUAAAUUGGCCCGCGAUGGGACUCGAGUUGCCCCCAAGCUCAUCUCCUCUCCGGCCGUAUCGUCGGUUCUUCUCCGCCUCUCGCCUCGGCUGUCGGCUUCCUUCCGCCGUCUGCGCCACCAAGGCACCAACCGAGGCGGGCUUUCGAUUGCAGCAUGGUAAACUGUAUCUACCUCGCCUACAUUUGUAACAGUUCUCGAUAUGGUAGUGGGACGUCUCAGAUCUGGAACAGAGAUGGACGGCAAGUUCAGGUGAUAUCCAGGUAACAUUGUUUCAUUGCACCGCACGGAUUUCUUGAUGGUGCACCCGAAGAACUUGUUGUAAUCACUUGGAUCAAUGUCGUAAAUCAGGCCAGGCUCAGCUGCCCUGUUAGGGUUUAUGUGCCCCCCUCCAUAGUCGAAUGGGUCGGCGAUCUUUUGAGGCAAUCCUUGUGCAAGUAUCGGCAUGCCGCGCUCAUCAGUUACGGACGCUUGAACCAUGCAAUAUGUGACAGAGGUUAGACAAAAGCUGAGAUGCCUUGACAUGAAUUAGAAGUGGUGUUCAGAAUUCUGGUUGGCAUGAACUAUGUUACCAGUGGUCAUGAUUGCUGAUUUUAGUGCAGCUGGGGACCAAUUUGGGCGCAGGGCUUUCAGCAGCGCGACGACACCUGCUACGUGUGGUGCUGCCAUAGAUGUCCCUGAUUUAAAUACAUAUGCAUCUCGUUCUGCUGCUAAGAUGCUGACUCCUGGUGCAGCUAUGUCAGGCUGUUAAGGAAGCAAGGCUGCAGUGAGAUGACAAUAUAAUGGCUCAGUCACCAGUGGAGUUGUACAUUCUUUUUUGCAGGCACCUUGAUUACUUCAGGGUAGUGGAUGGAUGGACCUCGUGAGGAGAAUUCUGCCACUUUUGGGGUCAGUGCCUCUUCACCUGUCACUGUGCGUGCUGGUUCAAUCUUUGCAACAGGAGACCUGCUUAAAAAAAGUCAGAAAUUUAUCGGAGAAAAGCUUCAACUCAUUGCUGAAGGAUGCAGUCAACCGGGGCCUUCUAGCUUGCAUGCCAACCAGUGAAGGUCCAGAAGGAUGCAGGUUACCUUGCGUCGCCCAUGUAUUUCUUGAUCUGGUUGGCAGUGUCCAAGUCCACAAGAACACACGCAAUGCCUUUGCAAUCAGCAGUUUCACCGAUAAGGUCCGUGGUAUAUUCAGCAAAGAUGAGACCGGAACCUCCGCCAUCCCGGACGUUUUCCAACGCGGUCAGGAAAGGCGCAAGCCAUGACGGGCGGAGAGAUGAACACAUCACAAUUUUCCCUCGCACGUCCGUGCCGUUCAGAGCACUCGCAGUGCAUCUAACCAAGGACAAACAUAAACAAUCUUAUCAGCUUCAGAAAUUCCUGAAGUAGUCAAACAAAUUAAGCAGCAAGAAUUUGUCGUACAAGCCUCCGAAUGCAAGAAGUUUGAAACUGUUGAUUGAUGAGUUCUUCCCUCCGUAGUACAAGGACUGUCCCUGCAAAAUGAACAGAGCUUGUUUAAGAUCCUCCAGAGUCAAGAAUCAUGAGUCGUUACUAAUUACAUAUUUUCAUUUA
Long non-coding RNA from Phragmites australis (common reed), 1563 nucleotides. RefSeq lists it as uncharacterized. The record is from RefSeq and is a predicted model, not a curated record. NCBI's taxonomy places the organism in Eukaryota, Viridiplantae, Streptophyta, Magnoliopsida, Poales, Poaceae. The transcript is spliced from 2 exons.